UGCGGGGUGGCUCAGCAGCAGAGCGCUUGCCUAGCCUGUGAGAGGCCCUGGGUUCCAUCCCCAGCACUGCAA
Molecule: transfer RNA, 72 nt
Filed under: Marmota monax (woodchuck)
Lineage: Eukaryota; Metazoa; Chordata; Mammalia; Rodentia; Sciuridae
Rfam family: tRNA
About the family: Transfer RNA (tRNA) molecules are approximately 80 nucleotides in length.
Source: Rfam by way of RNAcentral